GCAUUGGUGUUGCCUUUUAUGCUCGUGCAGACCAGGAGCUUUGUGCUAUGCAGUUUAGACUCGUGCGGGUGAGGAGAAUUUGUGAAUUUUGUCAAGCACUUUUGGAGAGGCGUUCCUUACAAUCUUCAUAGCAAGGAGCCUUGACCGAGUGAUUGAAGAAGUCUUCGGGAAAGAAGUCGCACAUCGUGAUGGCAACAGACGAUCUUUGUGUCGUAAUUUCAUCAUCUUCAACACGUUCACGUUGCUUUGAAGGUUGACAAGAGCUGCUUUGCCCCCUUUCCGAUUGGCGGACUUGUGGAGGAGACGUAUGCUUCUUGUGCCAUUUCUUAGGAGUGACUUGAGUCCAUCCUUCAAGUUUGCUUGUUUUGGAGGAUGCCCCCGGCGGUUGAGGUGAAAAUUUUGUGUUGAAAGAGCCAGAAGUGAUGGUGGUAUAGUUUGACUUCACCACAUCGUCAAGAUCUAGCUCGAUGAUUCCUUUCUGAGCCCACUUUAUGAUGAGAUCUUUCAGCACAAAGCACUUUUCUGUCGGAUGACUGAUGAAGCGGUGGAAUUUACAGUAUCUUGGACUGUUGGUACGAUUCAUCUCUUCCGGCCAUCUGCACUCAGGCAAACUGAUCACCUUCUUGUCCAACAGGUCAUCCAACAUGGCAACCACAUCAGAGUCAGGGAAUGGAUAAGUCUUCUCUUUAAGCUCCUUCAAAGUGCGUCUACGCAUCUCUUGAUCACGAAAAGCUUCGGUUUGAAUCGUUUUGCCUCGUGUGGAGAUUUUGACGGGAGAUGUGUUGACUGUCAUUGCUUCCUUGGUGGAUUUCCACGUAGCCUUCUCCACCUUUGUCUCAAGAAUUUUGUCGUUCUUGUAGUCGGCGAUCGGUUCCUUCUUCCCAUGAUGGGUGAUGCUCAACUCCAUGUCAUGGGCGUGGGUGGCCAAUUCCUCGAAGGUCCGUGGUUUAAUGCCUUGAAGGAUGUAUUGCAAACCUCAUUGCAUGCCUUGGAUGCACAUCUCGAUUGAAGAGGUCUCCGAGAGCCUAUCUUUGCAGUCGAGGCUUAGAGUGCGCCAUCUGUUGAUGUAGUCAAUGACCGGCUCAUCUUUCCAUUGCUUCAUACUUGUGAGCUCCAACAUGCUUACAGUGCGGCGGGUGUUGUAGAAGCGGUUGAGGAAUUCCCGCUCCAAUUGCUCCCAGCUGUUGAUGGACUCAGGCUCUAGGUCCGUGUACCACUCAAAUGCGUUUCUUUUCAGCGAGCGCAUAAACUGCUUGGCGAAGUAGUCCCCCUCCGUCCCCGCGUUGUUGCAAGUUUUGACGAAAUGUGCAACGUGCUGCUUUGGGUUUCCUUUUCCAUCAAACUGCAUGAACUUUGGUGGUUGAUAUCCCAUCGGCAUCUUUAGGGCAUCAAUCUUCUUUGAAUAAGGCUUUGAGUACAACCCGGAGGUAUUUGAGCUCCCUUCGUACUAUGCCUUGACGGUGCUGGCAAUCAUCUCUUGCAACUGUUGGAUAGAAAGAGAUCCCAUGAGUGCCGCUUCUUGGUCUGGCUCCGGCUUCACAUCGAUUUUCUCCACCGUAGGCUCAUCUUCUGGGUUAGGGUUCUCGCUGUCCUGUGGCUCCAGUUGACUGAUGAGUGCAGCGAUUUGCAAGUCUUUUUCUUCCACAGUUCGGGUUAGCCUUGCGAUUGCUUCAUUCAUUUGAGCCAGUUGUUCUUCGAUGGAGGUAACGCCGAUGGUCAUGACUUGUGCAACCAAUAGACGUGACUUUCCUUUAGACAUCCAAGAUGCUGAAGAAGAACGUCAUUGGUUGUUUUGGGAUGUCAUCUUGUGUGCCUCAGCAACAUGCUUUGGUGCCCCCAGCGAGGUCAGGUUGAUGACAGACUCACACCUUUGAUGCUCCCUUUGCUCUUUUAGCGGCACCAACUUUGAAGUGGCAUGUUAAGGAGCGGUUGUGGUGCUAAUGGAUUGUCCAUUUGCGGCAGAAGUGCUUAGGAUCCUUCCCUCAGUGAUUGCGAGAACGGCUUGUCCCUUGCUUGAUGCCAUUGAUUUUGAGGUGUGUUUGGAUUCCUUAAACGGAGAAAGAUAUGAGAGGUAGAGAUUGUCCCACCGGGCGUGCCAAUUUGUGAACACGAAAAUUUCCUGAAACGAAAGAGACAAGAACAACGUGCACAAAAUAAUAUUUUGGUGUUAAUGGAUUUGUUGGGUUACGAUCUCUUUUAACUUGAUCCUCUGAUUCGAUCUCCGUAAGGUGUUGAUUUAUGGAUGUUUCGUUGAUCUAAGGGCCGUCGAGGCUUGAUCUUGGAUGAACUGUUGGAAGUUUCUUCAAGGGGCCGUGGGCUUGAUCUUUGAAGGUGGAUUUGAGCGGAUCUUCAAGGAGCCGUUGGGGCUUGAUCUUGAGGAUGAGUGUUUCUUCAAGGGCCGUUAAGGCUUGAUCUUGAAUAACGGUGAUGAACGGAUCUUCAAGGGCUUUUGGGCUUGAUCUUGAAGAACGGUUGGAUGUGUGGAUUUGUUGAUGUUGUUGAUCCAAGGGCCGUCGGGGCUUGAUCUUGGAAGAACGAUGAACGAAGAACGAAGAACACUUUCUUCAAAGGCCGUCGGGGCUUGAUCUUGAAUUGGUGAUUGUUGAUCCAAGGGCCGUCGGGGCUUGAUCUUGGAAGAACGGUGAACGAAGAAUGAAGAACGAAGAACACUUUCUUCAAGGGCCGUCGGGGCUUGAUCUUGAAUUGGUGAUUGUUAAUCAAAGGGCCGUCGGGGCUUGAUCUUGGAAGAACGAUGAACGAAGAACGAAGAAGGCUUUCUUGAUUCUUCGGGAUGAACGGAUGAUGAACAAUGAACACUUUCUUCAAGGGCCAUCGGGGCUUGAUCUUGAAUUGGUGGAAGUUCUUCAGGGCCUUUGGGGCUUGAUCUUGAAGGUGGAUGAUUGUUGAUCCAAGGGCCGUCGGGGCUUGAUCUUGGGAUGAACAGUUGUGUGGAUUUGUUGAACACUUUCUUCAAGGGCCGUCGAUGCUUGAUCUUGAAUUGGUGGAAGUUCGUCAAGGGCCGUUGGGGCUUGAUCUUGAAGAAGGAUUUGACGAAGAACGAAGAGAGCUUUCUUGAUCCUUCGGAAUUUGCUUGAAUUUGGGAGGUUGGAUGCUUGAAAGCUUUAGAGUUUCAAAGCUUCAAGGAUUUUGGAUGUGUGGGGAGUAUUCUCUUACAUUUUGGGAGUAGAGAAAUGUAUUUGUGAAUUGGUUUUUGAUACCUUGAUGUAGAAGCCUAUUUAUAGGCUUUGAGAAUGAAUCACCACCACAAAAUAUUUUUUUCUUUUCCAAGCACCAUUGCCUAAUUUCCCACUUAAUACAAUUUUAAACUUGAAGUGGUAAUUUUAUGGCCUAAUUUUCCACUUAAUAUCAUUUUAAACUUGAUAUGUGCAUGCUUUGUCAUUGCCCAAAAUGAGAAGAAAACCUUGUUUUGAUCUUCAAUGGAUUGAAAUGUGCUUUGCCUUGUCAUUGCCCAAAAUGAGAAGAAAAACUUGUGUAAUCCUCCAAGGGUAUUUCUUUUUAUUUUGUUGAGUCACACACCAUGUGUACAAUUUGUAUGACACGUGGCAUAUGCCAUAUAUGCCUUGACACGUCAAAAUUUUAAUGCGUUGGUGAACAUUUAUUUCACCGCAAUUUCGAUGUCUACAAUUUCAUUUCUUGUGAAUAAUGUUUAUCCUGUGUUCUGUCCAAUCGCGUAUUAAAAAAUGUGUGAAGUUUGGAUUAACCACACUCUUUUAGAAUUUCCUUUAUUUACCACUUUUUGAGAAUUUCCAAUAAGACUGGGUGAGUCUCCGCUGAGAAUUUCCUCAACUAACACCACACUACUUGAGGGAUAAUUUGUUAUAUCUUUGAAUAAAGAAUAAAACAGUUUCCUACUUUUGAAGGUACUAUUAACUUACACUAUAUUUGGAUGAAGGUCAAACUUUAUAAAUUGACAUACACCAAAUUCUUUGUUUGGAUUCAUAAACAUAUAAAUUUAGAAUUUCCGCGUGGAAAAAAAAAAUACUUAGAAUUUGAGACCUCCAAUUCUCAAAUUGAAAGUUUAAAAAUAAUAAAUUCCGUAUUCAAUUCAAUUGUUCUUUUAGGUUAACCAAAUAAGAAAAUUCACAAAUUCUAAAAUAUAAAAUCUCAUCAUUUCAAUUUCCGUCAUUUUAAAAUUCCUUAGUAAUAUUAAAUUUCUUCAUCCAAACAUAGUGUUAAGAAAUUUUUUAAAGAUACACUAUUUACACUCAUUUUUAUUUCUUACACAUUUAUUAACUUUGUCCAUUGAUUUCUUCAAUUCAUUUUGCCAGUUAUACAAAAAUUGAGAACAGUAUUUAUGAAUUAAAAAUACAUUUGUAGAUGUCACUACCAAAUUUUUAUUCCUAAUUCAAGAAAAUCUUAUCCAUAUAUGAUUGCCCUUGCCCACUUUAAAUGGGUGCCAUCACUUUACGAUAGAGCAAUCCUAACCGUCCACCUAGGUAAGCAUAACUGGCGAUGCAUGUCGCAAGGGGACCGCAUUGCACAAUAUAAUUAUACUAGUUGAUAAGACAAGUGAUGUCAAUCAAUAAAUUAUUUCAUUAAAACUUAGUUGUAUGUAUCAUAUGUUGUAAUGUAGGGUGUAUGAUAUGCUGACGCUGUAAAAAAAUGUAACCUUUUUAAUAUUACUCAUAAUAGUAAGACUUACCAGUAUUAGGAUGUUAUCAGUGGAAUGAGAAUCCUCUCCAGAUCUUUUUUGUGAGCUAUUAUUUGUAUUUAAUUUUAAAUAUAAAAAAUUAAAAUAAUUUAUGACGGCAGUGAUUCACAUGAUCUUCACAAAGAGAAUCCAAAUAAUCUUAAUUUAUAUCAGUGUGUCUAGAUAACAUGAUCGAGCCCCUUUACUUUUACCCUAUUUAGUAUUUUACAUUUGAACCUGUAAAUAUUCGAUUUUUCUUUGGUGCAACCGAGCACCAAAUAUAGAUUUUUUUUCACUUUUAUAUAAUGAUAAAUAAAGGGCAAUUGGCAGAUUUGAAUUCCAUUCGGAUUGGUCAAAAAUCAUUUUAAAUUGUUUUAUUUAAAAUUAAACACAUAUAGUACUUAAUAAAAAUUAGUCGUACAAUAUACGAUAAACAGAUAUAAUGUAAGGACCUUUAUGAUCUUCACAAAAAAGAUCCAAAGGUUGUGUAGCUGUUUCAAAAGGAUAAUACUCACUUUUGAUUAGUUCAAUGAAAUUUUAAACAUGUUUUAUUGUUUUAAAAAAUAAUAAACAUAUUUAUUAAUGUUUGUUUUACUUUAAAAAAUAAGCAGCACUUGACAACAUUUGAUUGUGCUAAAUAAAAAAUGAGUGACCACUUAGUACUACAGUCUUAUGAUAUUUUUCUUCAUUUGAAAGUGAGAGGUUUUAAGUUCGAAUCUCGUGGAUGACGAAUUUGAUAUCAAAUUAGAUUGCUCACUAUGUGGCUUAGCCGAACUCUCAUUUCCUUUAAUGUAAAAAUAUUGAUGUAUUCAAAAAAAUAAAAAGUGACUAUAGAGGACACUCAAUCUCAGCUGUAUGAUUAAAUCAGACGGUAAGAAAAAUUCUGCAAGCAUACUCGGUUACAUUAAUUGAAGAAAAAAUGGGUAAAUAUUGGGCACCAACGUUAUAAAUACCCUCCACCAUGCACCCAACUCCCUCACACCAUCACAACCCACGUUACAAAUCCUCCUCCUCAUCAUAACCAUUCUGUUUUCCGCAUAAUAUCCAAAAACCUAUCAUGUCUGAAGAGAAACACCACCGCGGUCUCUUCCACCACCACAAGGAUGAAGACAAACCCUCAGACUACCCUCAGUCUGGCUACUCUGAUGAAGGACGUCCCGGCGGCCUCGGUGGUGGUUACGGCGACACCAAUGAUUAUUCUGGUGAAGGACGUACCGGCGGCCUAGGUGGUGGCUAUGGCGACACCAAUGCUUAUUCUGGUGAAGGACGUCCCGGCGGCUAUGGCGGCUAUAACGAGACCACUGCUUACUCUGAGGAAAGAGUUGAAAGACCCGGCGGUGGCCGGUACAGUGAGACUACUGCGGCAUAUGGCAGCACCACCACUCAUGAAUCUGAACUUGAUUACAAGAAGGAGGAGAAGCACCACAAGCAUCUCGAGCACCUCGGCGAGGCCGGUGUAGCUGCUGCCGGCGCUUUUGCCUUGGUACGUAUUGUAUUUUAACCCACCUCUAUAUAUAUAUAUAUUAGAAUAAUGCUAAUAAGACCAAAUUUUGAAAACUAAAUGAUGUGGUUGUUGAUAAUGAACUUAUUACUCAAGUCUUGAUUAACAUGCUUAUUUUCUAAUAGUGACACAUUAUUUGGUUUAGAAAUUUGGUCUUCCUAACUUUAUCAUUCUCAAAAUUUUCAUGAUUUUGAUAGGGUAAUACGGGAGAUCAAAAUUUCUAAACCAAAUUUGCAAACCAAUAGAUGAUUGGAUUAUUAAUUAAGUAUCGAUUGUUUGUUUCUUAUUAACGACAUAUCAUUUGAUUUACAAUUUAGUUAAAAAAAAUUUAUUCUUUCUGUCAUAUCCUUUUGAAUAUUUGAUCACUUUACUCUUUAUCACUUUACCCUUGAUCACUUUACCCAUACUCUUGCAACCGAAUCACCGUCCUCCUCCUUAACCUUCAUUUUUUUGUCUUACAGUACUCCAAUCUAUCAACUCUGUCCAUUGCAACUUUAAUUGUGAAGAAAAUUAAAGUCCUAUCGUAAAAUUAAUUAGUGAUAUGGAGAGUUGCGCAAUUAUUGAUGGACUAGGUAGGUAAGAUACGGAAUCAAAGUCUACCAUUAACAAUGGACGGAAUUGAUGAACCAUAUAGGUAUGUAAGAUACGGAAUCAAAGUCCUCAUGUAAAUGGUACAGUUGCAAUCAGGAGAAGAAAUGAGUUAACUGAUACCUUCGUAAUAGUUCAUGUAGAGUUUUGAUAUUAUUAAGCCUUAACCACCUGAUCUUAUAUAUACGAGGACAAAUCUAAUCAAAUAUGUGUUAAUUUCAAGGUUUGUUUUACAUUGAUGUGAGAUCGAUGCUAGCAAGAUAUAUAACUUAUGUCAGUUUCUAUAUGAUGUGUGUAGCAUGAGAAGCACAAUGAAAAGAAAGACCCAGAGCAUGCCCACAGGCACAAGAUAGAAGAGGAGAUUGCUGCAGCAGCUGCAGUUGGUUCGGGUGGAUUUGCCUUCCAUGAGCAUCAUGAGAAGAAAGAGACAAAGGAAGAAGAGGAAGAGGCUUAUGGAAAGAAGAAGCACCACCACUUCUAGAUCUAUGUGGAUUGUGGAACAUCAUCUUUUGACUACAUAUGCAAUGUUGUGUUUUUACUAGUUAUCAUGUGGUGUGAUCAGUGAGAGUGUGAUGCUUAAUCUCAACAAUAUCGCUACAAUAGUUGAGUGGUUAAAUGUCCUUUUCAAUUAAUGGGUGCUAUCUGGUUUUCUUUUAGCAUGCCAUCUAUGUAUGUAUGUAUGUAUGUAUGUCAUUGUUAUUGUUCAUAAUAAUACUGUUUACUCGGUGUUUAUUUCCUAGUGGCCACAUCUCAUUUUAAAUGAUUUCUUCAUACCAUUAAUUUUUUAAAUGUAAAGACUCAGUAUCCAUAUAACUACGAAAAUUUUUGACAAAACAAAAACAAGAAAAAAGAAAAGGAAAAAAUGGCUUAGCAAGUUUGUAUCCUAUAAGACAAAUGGGUACGUGGAACGAUGGACAUCUCACAAUGGUUUUUGAAUCGUCGGAUCAUCAUGGUUGGACUAUAUAAUUAUCAUUGAUAUAAUAUAAAUUUUGAUUUUUUUUUAGGAAAUUAAUAUCUGAAAACAAUAUUGAUGUACUGCAUUUGUUUUGGACGAUAUUAUACUUUAAUCCAAAUUUUGAGAAAAAAAAAACAUAUCGAACUCAGGUGUACAAGAGUGGCUUUGCUACCCAUGUACAGGGCUAGUUCUGAGUUUUUGGGUGCCCAGUGCGAAAGCUCAAAAUGUGACAUUUUUUAAUACGAAAACAUAUAUUAAAAAAAAUAUUUAAUGAGGGCUGGAACCCAGUCGAAGCUGGAGGGCUAGGACCUCACGCCCAAAUUAUAUUACUUGAGAAAAUAUACAACUGAGGAGGGGACAUGGUACCUAAACCCCGACAAUCAAAAGUACAAUCAUAUACAACCACUCCUAGCAAAUCUCCUUCAAAUUUCAACCUUUAAGAAAUUGUCUUCUGGCAUUUUUUGAAGCAAAAUCAUCAAUUAUAUCAUCAUACUCCAAGUCUUCAAUCUCAUCAUUUUCAAUGCAUAAGAUUGCUAAUCCAUUUAGCCUAUCUUGAGUCAUAGUGGUCCGCAAGUAAGAUUUUAAUAAUUUCAAUUUUGAAAAACUUCUUUUUGCAGAUGCCAUGGUCACAAGUACAGUUAACAGUACACGAUAAGCAAUCAAGACAUUAGGACACAUGUCAGUUUCUUUUACAAAAUUUGCUAUUUCCAUGGAUGUCCAAGGGUUAUUAGAGAGAAAUGCUUCUUCAGGUAAUAUCAUUUGCAAAACCUGCAAUUCGGAAUAUAAGUCAACUCCAUCUACAUCCAUGGUAUUUCCAUGUUUCAAAUGUGCUUCAAGAUUCAUACAAUUUUCUUUUAGCUCUUGAUCAUCCAAUGAAAUUAACUUUGGUGCAUCAAACAAGAAGCCAAAAAUAGAUUCAAAGGAUUUUAACUGUUCAAACUUGUGUUUCAGUUGAGAAAGAGCAAUAUCCACUAUAACAAGAAAAUAAUAUUUCCUAAAUGAUUCUUUAGCAGAUUAUUGUUCCCUCUCAUUACCAUCAACUUCAUCAUGAUGUCUUUUUCUAGGUCUAUGACAUUUAGUUUGAAAAAACAGGGUCAAUUUCCAAAUCAAGUGCAAUUUCAUUAGCAUCACUCAUGGCGGAAGCAAAACCAGUUUCUCUGUAGUUUCCAAAAAAUGUAACAAAUGCUUCAAAUGCCUUUACAGCAACAUCAAGACGCAUGUCUUUAGAUUGUAAUUUUAUGCUCACCAUGUUAAUCUUCAACAAAAUGUCAUACUAAAUAACCAAACUUAAUACAAAAUCAAAACUUGAAAGUUCGCCUGAUGCUAAACAUCUUGCAUCCCUACUUAAUUGAGGAUUUUCAGUAAUUUCCACCAAUUAAACAAAGCAUUUCUAACCUGGGCUACUUGAGACUUAAUUGCUUUAACAUUUUCAAUGUGACUUUCCCAUCGAGUAGUUGACAAUGACUUCAAAGUUAAACCAUCAAUAUGUUCAACCAAAAUAUUCCAACGCUUUGUAGAGUUGGAAAACACCAUAUAUAUGCAUUGACAUGCUCUAAAAAAAGAUUUUGCUUUAAGACAUGAACUUGCCAUAUCACAAACUAUUAAAUUAAGCUAAUGAAAACCACAUGGCAUGUAAAAGGCUAUGGGAUUUAUGUCUAACAAUCUUUUCUGGACAACUUGGUGUUUCCCUCUCAUGUUAGAUCCAUUAUCAUAACCCUGUCCCCUCAUAUCAUCAAUAUCAAGGUCUAAAAUAUCGAUAUUAUCCCGAUAUUUCUUUCGAAAUUUCUGUGUUUUUGGAUUACCGAUAUUUCCGAUAUCAUCGAUAUUUUAGACCUUGAUAGGAACUCUAUGUGAUACUAAGUCACUCAUGUAUCUUACCAUGCAAUGUAUAAAGUGUAAAAUAUUGUAUUAAUUCAUUAUAUAUAAAUGAUUAUGGUGUGUUUAACUUCUUUCAUUAAUUACUACAUAUUUUCUACACUCAAAAUGUUUGUCAGCUCACUAUAUAAUCAACUUAAAUAAGUUAAAUCCAUCAUGAAAUGCAUUUCGUUCCAAUUUUUUGUAAUAAACUAGUAGAUAAUUGACUAAAUAAACAUCCUGCAAAGUUUCAAUAAAAAUUUCCAAGUUUUUCUUAUAAUUUCCGUGGUUUUUAUUCAAUUUUUAUCGAUAUCGAUAAUAUCCCGAUAUUUCCAUCAAAAUUUCCGUAUUUUUGGACUAUCAAUAUUUUCGAUAUCAUUGAUAUUUUAGACCUUGAUCAAUAUCAAGAUCAAGAGAUUUUAGGACAUCUUGCAGCUCGUUAAAAAGCCCUUGUCCUAAUGUAUCUUUCACACUUAAAAACUCCAUGAAAUACUCCCUUAUAUUUAUUGACCUACUUGACAAGUCAACACAUCACAAAAUUAAAGUCAUCUGUUCCACAUGACUUGCAUUAGGAGUACAAUCAAGAAUGACAAAAAAAAAUUUGGCUUCUUUUACUUUUUUAAUGAUUGCGGUUUUGACUUUUGAAGCUAAAGUAGCUAUCAACUCAUUUUUGUUGGAAAUGUGCCCUAAAACCAAUCAUAUGAUGAUACUUUACGAACGUUUCACAUGUUAAACUAAUAUAGUUUAAUAUAAAGGGCAAAAAUUAUUGUUUGUAGCCGUCUCAUAUAAAUGUUAUACGCUUAAACGAUAAGUCCAAGGAAUAUGUAAUUGGGAGAAUGCGAUCUAAAGAAGUUAGAUUCAUGAGACCAUUCUCUUCCGUAUACAUAUCCUAAACGUUACUGAUCAUAGGAUUGUCAAUUGGGCAUUGAUAGUCUGUUAAGAUCAGUACGUGUUAUGUCUUCUCUUAAGGAGAGUGACUGGUCUCGAGUCAUUGGUGUGACUGACACCAAGACAAGCAUGUAGGUGCUCAAUAGAGAAUGAGUCCACUGAACACGAUCAACAAGGAGUUCUCAUACUCAUGUCACAUGAGAACUCGUGGUUGGAAUAAUGCAAAGUAGUCAUUUGACCUGAGGCAUCAUAGUUGUCUUGUGGUUAGGUCCUUGAUCUUUGACUAUGUCAAAGUCACUCCGUCAGAGGGUGUCCAUUGCAUAGUUGGGGUUAAGCCACUUAGCCAUGGAGGCAAGUGAAUGCACAAUAAGGGAUCUCUAACCUUCAAACUAUUUGAGGGAGAAUACUCUAUGAUAUGAUUAAGAAUCUCUGGCCAGAGUAUGAAUGAUAUUUAAGAAGUCGUUCCAAAUCACAUUCAAGGUAAUCAUAUAAGUAAGAGAAUCACAUUGGAUAGUAGACAUGAAUAAACUAUCAAACCAAACAAUGUGGUCAAGAGUAUUGUAUUAGAGUAAGACCGUAUUGCAUUGUAAUCCUAAACUAAAUAGGUUCUCCACCUCUUCUGAUCAGCUUGGGUAACCAUGACAUACUGCUAGGUGUUACUCAUGAUUUGUGGAAGCCCUAAACGUGUAUAAUCACUAAAGGGAGAAUUGAAAGUAAGUUUCAAUUUACAAUCGAUUUGAAAGAGUUCUAAUCGCUCACUGCCUCGCUAAAAGGAACCUAAUGGAUCGUACACCGUGUAAGGUAGAGAUUGAAAAAACAACGGAGAUAAGUAAGGACAAUUAAAUGGUUUAAUUGUUUAUGACAAGAAUUAAUUAAUAUGUUAAUUAAUCAAACGAAUAAGUUCGGGUUAAACCUUGAGUUAGUUUUGGGCAUUAAAGCCCAAAUUGGGCUUCGAAUCUUCAAACCCAUUAGCUUAAGUUGUAUGACAACUUAACAAACAAAAUUCAAGAAGCCCAAAACAGCCCAAAGGCUUGGGAAAACCAGCCAUAUAGAGAGGGGUAGUGAACUUGGCUUAAUUGCAAGUUUGCCAUUCCAUUGUGAGGUGGUAUAAAGGCAACUUUAUAGCCAUUUCAUCCUUAGGGUUUCUUUUGGAGAAAAGAUGAGAACACAAGCUCCCUUUUCUCUCUAAGAGGCUGGCCACCCUAGAGGAUUUUAGCUAGCAAUCUUACUUCCUCUAGGUCACUCAUCUCUUCUUCAAGUCAUUCCUUGGUGUGGAGACUUAGAGGUUCCUUUCAACCAUCUUCAUCCAAGAAAUCCAUGGAGCUAAGAAGCAAGGAAUGAAGGCCCUCGCCUUGGGUGAUUAGCCUUUGCUUAUGCAAAGAGGAAUCAACAAAGGUAUAAAAUUUCUCAACUCACUUUGUUCUUGAGUUGAGUCUUGGUUCACAUAACUACUAGGCUUUGAAUUUCAUGGGUAAUGUUUUGUUUUGAGUGCAUACAAGCAUGAUUCCGCCUUUAAUUGUUAAUUGCAUGCCAUAGAUGUUGCUCAAAUGAACAUGUUUCUCACAAAAUUUCCUUCAAUUUUGAAUUUUAUGGCUCAAAUAGUGAUGAUGAAUCUCUUUAUUCUCAAUAAGUCGAAAAUGCUAUUGCAUUAUUGGAUCAAACUCCGCAUUCAUUUCAAGUAAACCUAAGAAGUUGCCAUUAGAGUCUUCAUAAAGUCUUUCAUUUGUUCCACGAAAUGCUAAAUUACGUAUGGCAAGACAUUUCAUAACAUCAAUAAUUCUAAGCAUCACUUGUUUCCAAUGAUUUGGCUCUUUCUUGAUUUGCAUUUGAAAUUCUUUGUCAAUUGUCUGAUUUUUUGUCAAUCUACUUUUCAACUCAACCCAAGUUCUCGAAUUAAUGAGAUGCUCUUUACUCUUUUCAUAUUGGUCAAGCUUCUUACCAAGAUGUCUCCAAUCACUAGUUCCAUCUUUUGCUAACUCACUUUUUGAGGCAAUUAUUUUAAACAAUUUACAACAAAAGCAAAAGACUUUAUCCAACUCUUUUGAGUACACGAGCCAUUUCCUAUCGUAAAUUUUACCCGUUCGUAAUUUUCGAUCAUAGUAGUGUGAGGAAAAUUUUCUAGAGAAUUUGUCCUUAGGAUAAGUGAAUUAGUUUCUCAAAUUGGUCCUUUUUCUACAAGUAAGUCUCUCAUUUUUGCAUUAAGACCAUCCCAAACUAUUGGAUCAUAAAUGUCUAAAUGAAAAAUAGGUUCAAGAGAUUCAAUAUUUUCUUCUACACCAAAAUGAUCAUCAUCAACAUUUAAAUCCACAUCACCACCAUUUUCAUGAUCUUGAGACUCAUCACCAACAUUUUCCUCUAAAUCACCACAAUUUUCUUGGUCAUGAGACUCGUCAUUAACAUCUUUCUCCACAUAACCACAAAUUUCAUCAUCAUGAGACUCCCCAACAAUAUUUUGUGACUCUUCACCAACAUCAUUUUCUCUCAAAUUUUCAACCGACUCAUUCUUUAUAGAAUUUUUUUUAUUAAGAGAUCCUCUUAAACUUUAGGCAAUUUCGUUAUCCUUUGCCUUUUUUUUCCUUUUCAUAUUACUAGAGAGUUAUUUUCUAAAAGACAUGGCUUUGAUAAUUUGUUUGCAAAAAUUACCUACAUAUGAUAUAACAAAAAUUUCCUAUUAAAAUUAUCAUCAACAAUUCAAAAAUUACCUACACAUGAUAAUCAAGAAUUCAAUUCAUCAACAACAACAAUUCUAUACAUCAAUUAUCAUAUAAUUCUGUCACUUGCAAAAUUUAUAUUAAAUUAUGAAUUAAUAAUUCAAAUUAAAAAAUUAGUUUACCUCAAAACUCAAAAGGGUUGUUGAAUGCAAGGACUUGUGGGCCUGUGGCUGUCGGGUUUGGAAGCUGUAGCCUGCAGCAGCGCAACAAAUUAUCAGACGGUAAGGGCUAGGGCAGUGGGGUAACAAUGGGGUGGGGAAUCGGGAAAAAGGGGAACUUAGGGUUAAUUGGGGGGGGGGGGGGCGGGGACGAGUGGUCCCCUUGUGUUGUUAUUUUUUAUUUUUUUAAUGGCCAAAACCUGGGCUGGUCUUUUUUUUUUAAUUUUUUUAUUAUUUAUAAAUGCCCAAAACCUGGGCCGUUCCCUUCAUUUUCAAACUUGGGCCUCUUGCCCUCUAGUUCUUAUUUUGGGCUCUGGACAAAUUUUUUUUAUACCUAAUUAUUUGGACUUUUUUUUUGGUGCCCCUUUCAAUUUUGGGCCUUGGAAUGGCCCUGGUUGCACUGGGCCUGGGCCGGGCCUGCCCAUGUAUAUGUUAUCUUGUGAUUUGACAAGUCAUAUGUAUAUCAUAUCAAUUUUAUCUCAAUUGUGGUGAUGGUACAUAAUACUUACUACAUCGUAUGGCAACAAAUAAAUAUGGGCAUAAAGAUAAAUAGAAUGGUAUCAGUAAAUUAAGGUCUUCACAUUACGAUUAUAUUUAUCUCUAUUUUUAGUGGAAAGUUUUAAGGAUAAUUUUUUUUCUGCCUCCUACAUGGGUCUCGAUUCUCCUCUACGGUAAAAAUCCGUAUGUUUUAAAUAUUGAAAAGUUAAUUUAGCCCAAAUCCUUGCCUAUUUUAGGGAAAAUAAAAAAAAUUCAUUUUUAACCCUUUGAUUACUUAUAUCACCUAGUAUAACCUUUUUUUUUGUGUGAUACAAACAAAUAUUUUUGUUUGGGCCCAAAAUAUUAUUUUAGGCUGAGCUUAGGUCAUUCUCGGCCUAGUGGCAUUCAUUUAGAAUUUUGUUAUGGGCCGUCCAGUUAAGGUCAGCCGAAUCCUAUUAUGAAAAGGUUUGGUUUGGAUAAGGGUGAGUUGGUCGAUACUAGUGCAACAAGGAUUCUGAAGACUAAGGACAUUGAGAAUUAAAGGGUGAAUUUGGUUUGUUAAGAAGCUUGGUUCAAAGUCCUACAGGAAUUAGGAUUGGUUGAAACCUGAUCGGAUUGGGUUGAGGAGUUCUAAUCCUAGUCCAUUUCUAGUUCGGCUAUGAGGGGAUUCAUUAUUAUAAAUAGAGAAGGGAGUGCAUCAUUCAAAGCCCCUCCAAUUCAACACACAAAUUGCCUUGUGCAAAGCUUCUCAACAACCUUUGAGAUUUUAUCCACUUCCUCUUUCUUUUGCCAACACAUCUUCAGUUUGGAUAAAUAGCACUGUGAAGGCAACCGUCGACAUCUUCAGUUUGGAUAGACUGCACUAGAGCCGUAAAAUUAGCCGACCAAGGAGCACCUUUAGUUUGGAUGGACAACACUGCUUUGAGGCCGACUGGCUAUUUAUUCAAGUCUCGGCUGAGAAGGAUUUUCAAAUCCUUGUUGGUAGAGGUCAUCUCGUCAGCCUUCUCGGCAAAGUGAGGUGUUACAGGUUUCUGGGCUCGGCACAUUGAACGUUGAGUUUUGUUUUAUGAUUAGAUACUCACAAGUAAGUUUUAGAGUUUGGCAUUCCGAUGGCCGAAUCACAUUUACAAUCAAGAUAUAUAUUUCUUUCGAGUAUUUGUGUCUGUAUAGUUUGGUACCAGUUCGGCAUGCUUAUACUCUCACGAAUAUAAUCACUAUGAUCGAACCUGAUGCCGAUGAUUUGUGAACUUCAUAGAACUAGCAACCUUGUCUUCAGGCAUUAUAAUCCAAAGGCCGAGACAUGUUCCUUCAUCGAUCGCAGUCGUAAGAUCGAGAAGUCAGCAGCGCGCCCAACGAGACAUCAACACAUUCUAUUCCUCGACCGAGUUGGCACGCCCUGCACAUAACUGAAGGACGUAGUUAGCUUAUUAGUUACUCAGCCUAUGCGUCACGUAGGCUUCAUAGUUUUUAGUGUCAACAUUUUGGCAUGCCCAGUGGAACCCAGUGUUAAAGCUACGAAGUUCAUGACCAUUGAGACACGGUCAGUAAAAAAGAAACCAGUAAUGGGAAAGUUGACAACUAAUCUUCCAGUCUAAAACUCAUGACAAGAUGGGUUGUUAUAGACACAGAUUCAUGCUGCUGCCAUGACACCUGAAGCCACAAGUGCGACAUGCCGAGAAAAGGAAGUGAAUCUUGGCAAUCAGCCUUGUGGUGCAGAAAUCCCCACCAAAACGACAAAAGGCAUUUUUGUUGAAGGAAUAGUGGAUGAUUAUGACGAGGACGGUGGUAAGGCCUCUGAUCCACCAACCAGGUCGUUUUUUCGACGACGACUUGAAGAGUAAUCUUGACAACUUGAGCAGAUGUUCAGCCGAGAGAUAAAAAAACAUAUUUAAAGAAAUGCGUGAUAAUAUCGCUGUACAUAAUUUAUUGCUCGAAGUUCUGGUUAGUAAAGUCCAUGACAUUGGACCCACCAAUCGAUCCAGGCAUCAUUUUUUCAGGAAUAACCCACUACCAAUAGUACAGGUCGAGACAUAAUCCACUUGGCUCAAAAUGAUUAACUUACAGAAAAGUGGUGGGUUAAUCAGCAGAUCAAACGGAUUCGACCAGAGAGCGGAAACGACAUAUGUUGAUAUGGUUGAAGUUUAGAGAAUGAUUGAUUCGGCCUUGAAAAAUGGGCCAAAGUUUCCAAAAUUCAUUCACCCAUAUCCUGCCUUUGUAGAAAAGUUUGAGUACCCAAAGGGGUUCAAGAUCUCUGACUUCAGCCUUUUCGUUGAAGAGUCGUCCCUAUUGUCAUUAAACACGUGGCUCAAUUCACUGCUCAAUGUGGGGACGUUAACAGUGAUUUCCAUAAGCUACGAUUGUUCAAUUUCUCGUUAACCAGCUCAGCAUUCGCAUAUUAUAUCAACCUCUCACCCAACUCUAUCCAAAGUCAGGAGGAACUGGUCGAGAAAUUUCAUGAGCAAUUCUAUCGACUGGGGAUGGACGUAUUAGUAUCUUCUUGGGCUAGGAUGGCUCAAGCCUCUGAUGAGUCACCAAUGGAAUACUUUACAAGGUUUAAGUUGGCCAGAAAUUGGUGUCGAGUACCUCUUCCUGAAGUCGAGUAGGCUUGCCCUGAAUGGCUUAGACGUGGAGUACAAGAAGAAAUUCUUAAGGGCAUACUUUCGAGAUAUGUACGAAUUGGCUCAGCAUGUCGAGCAAUAUGAUUAUUUUCUCUGAGAGGAAAAGAUCUCGAAGUUUUCAUCCCGAGGAACGAUCUACAAGAACUUUACGGUUAGCUAUGCAUCGGCCAAAGGCGAGGAGUCCCAAUAUGCUAGUAUAGACGUGGCCAAGAUAUUAAUCGACAAACUGUACAUAUGUAAAACAUUGGCUCAUGCUACCUGUUCAGCCUUUGAGGAAGCUGCCGUCAAAACGUUAAAAGUCUAUACUUUCGACAUCACUAAGGCUGAUGCCAUCUUUGACCAGUUAUUGCUUGCAAAAAUUGUCAAGCUUCAGCCAGGGCAUAAUAUUCCAAAGGUCAAGGACUUAAAAGGAAAGACAUAUUACAAAUACCACAACUCGAACAAGCAUACGACAAACAACUGUGUCGUAUUUCGCGAUGCCAUUCGAAACUGGAUAGAUAACGGUAAGCUUAAAUUUCCUGAGAAACCAAUGGUCAUUGACACCAAUCCUUUCCCUAUGACAACGGUAAGCAUGGUAGAUGCUCACCUACACAAGGAUAAGAGAAAAGGAAAAGCCGAGUUCAUCCCAACGCAAUACGUCCCUAAGCAGAAUUCUCGAUCACAAUUGAAAGUCAAUCUAUCCUUGGGUGAGCCACCCAGAUACUUUUCAAACCCAACUAAUACCGAGUCAAUAUCAAACUCCAGCACGGGAGAAAGUGACAUGCCAAUGGUUUUAUGCAGUUGGUGUAAAUCAAACGUCAUCAUAACUAAGCUGAAGGAAAAGCCACUUCGGACUGAAGCACCACUAACGCCUGUAGUUGUAGCAACACCUCAAAAAGUGCUUGGUACAGACCAACACCAUAAAGUUUUUGAUAGGCUCAGCCCUCAAACACGGAAUGACGGCCCGUCUUCGGCCCGAUAAUGACUUAAUUUCGACGUUUCGUUUUAUAAUGAAGAGUAUUAUGUGUGCAACUCCAGCAACUCGAGUUCAUCCGCGAACCAAAGAAACUUCAAGUCACCUGAGCCAUGCGACUAGUGUUGGUAUACCUACAAUUCCCUACCGAUGUAUAUAUUGCAUUGUCCAAAUCGUAGAAACAUCAGCGCCAAAUAAUGGACUAUAUGGCUCGCCAAUGAGCAGCCCAGACUACCUCGGUCACCAAGUGGCAACUGAAAGAAACGGUAGAUAACGAAGAUGAUUGACAACCUUCGGCCAUCAUGGUUGAGUUGCUUCAAGGAAAGAAAGUGAUCGAUCGUGACUUUGAAACCAUGAUUGAAGAAUCUGAAAAGUGAAUCAAACUCUUUCUUCGGCCUAGGGAGAUGAAAGCUUGCCUCGAGCACUUUCGGAAAGAAGUUGAAAACAAACUUCCUUUACUACCCUCGCAAGAGCCAUUAAUUAAAGUUCGAAGGAAUCUUCACCCGCCAUUUCUUAACAAAGCUUUAGAAUACAUGCAAGAGUUCCAUAUAAAAACAUUCAGCUAAUGGUUAAUAUUGCAUGCCAAAAGCAUGCCAAGAGGCUCUUGAUCUAGUAUUAACUUGCCCCGAUGCCGAACAAAUCAUCCAAAAGACCAUGGAUCAGAGGAUGAAGGCUAGAAUCCAGCAUAUACUCGAGGCUUGAGUUCUCUACUUUGAGGUAGACCCAUAUACUGAUAUCGAUCCAACCGACCUUCCUUUCUCCCUUAAGGACCUCCAAUAUUUACUGUAUCAUUUUGAAAUUUUCUCGGCAGUUGCCCUCUUUAAUCUUACGACUGAUGAGAAAGAACGUAUGGCGUGAUUAGAUGCUUACUUAGACACAAGAGACGCCCGCAUCGUAUAUCAGGAGCGGACUCACAAGGCUUCACAAGAGCAACACCAAGUCCCCACGUUGAGCGAGCCUAAAGUUGAUGGUCAGAACGAAAUGGGUUUGGUGGAUGCACUGUAGGGACGGGUUCUCUUAGCUGCCGGAGAGGAUCAGCCAGAUAAUGCCCAUAAGCAAAAUACUUCGCCUGAAAAUCUAGAAGACAAAGAUCACGACCCAAUGGGUUCUUCGGUCCUUGAUAACACGGAAAUCAACAUGGUCCAUGUCUUACCUGCCGAGUUCUAGCUAAUUACAUCUCAACCAAACUUUAUGGACGACGUCAAAGUCGCCGAGGAAGCCGCACAAGUCGAUUUUUUGGCCACCGAAGAGAUCGAGCAAGUAAGCAAAGAAGAUAAACUUAAGGCAGCUCUUGCCAAUUUGUUCCCCCGCUAUUCGUCAGUUAAUUUUCAUCAUUUAAAGCCAUUGUAUGUUAUAGCUCGUAUUGAAGGAUAUCUGGUUUCUAAAAUUUUUGUCGACUACGAAGCAACGGUCAACAUCAUGCCCGUUUCUAUCAUGAAGGCAUUACGUCGCUUUAGCAACGAACUCAUUCCAUUAGGGGUAACCAUGAGCAGCUUUGUCGAUGACAAGUCCUAAACCAAAGGAGUGCUUCUUUUAGAGGUAAAUAUCGCAUGUCGCAAUCACAUGACCGAGUUUCUCAUAGUUGAUUUAAAGACUGAGUAUAAUUCCUUGCUUGGUUGUGAUUGGAUCCACCAAACAAGCUGUAUCCCUUCGUCAUUAUAUCAAGUCUCAUCUUUUGGGAUGACAAAUCAGUCGUGGUUCAUCCAGCCAACAAUCAGUUGUUUGAAGCUAAUAUAAUUUAGGCUCGUUAUUACAAUGAUCACAUCGGCUACAUCACCAUAUAAGGUUUUAAAGGGGAAGGACGGCCAACUUGAAUCUUAAUUUAGAAAGCCAUUGAGGUUGGAAAACAUUGUGACAAGAUUCGGCGUACCAAAAAUAAUUAUAACAGAUAACGGCAUAAUUUUUACAGCCGACAAGUUUAAAGAAUACGCAGCGAGUCUAAAAAUUCAGCUCAAUUAGUCCACGCCAUAUUACCCAUAAUCAAAUGGACAGAUCGGAGCAAGUAAUAAAGUUUUAAUCGGUAUACUUGACAAAAUGAUAAAAGAAAAGCCUGGUAUGUGGCAUUUGAAGUUAAACGAGGCAUUAUGGGCAUAUCGAACUUCACUCUGAUCAGCAACAGGGAUGACCCCAUAUGCGUUGACUUAUGGGCACGACGCGAUGCUACCGGUCGAGCUAAGCAUAAACUCGUUAUGAGUUAUCGAACAAAGUAGUUUAUUCAGUGCCGAGUACAGUCAGGCCAUGAGGUAAGAGUUGGAGGACUUGGAGGAAGCUCGGCUCGAUGCCUAUAACUUACUGGUGGUGCAUAAAAAGAUUACCGAACGAGCUUAUAAUCGAUGAGUUAGGCAAAAGACGUUCGGUGAAGGUGAAUUAGUAUGGCAAACCAUGUUACCAGUAGGGAUUAAAGACCUUAGAUUUGGGAAAUGGUUGCUGAAUUGGGAAGGACCAUUCGUCAUCCACAAGGUUCUUGGCAAGGGGGAAUACCACUUGAAAAAGUAUUAUUCGAUUACUUGGGAAAUGCAAGAAUAAAGAAUUUAUUUCAUUGAUUUUCAAAGGACAUUUACAAGCAAAAUUACAAAGAGUCGAUCGGCCUACAACUACAACUAAAGACAAAAGUCCUAAAGAGUCGAAGGAAGAAAAGCUUCAAAAGUGGCUUUCAGUUCUAGCCAUCUUACUUCGCCCAUCGUGACCUCAGCCUGUCUUGUUCUUUUGUCAAGUUGUAGUUGAUGUAUCUGCUUCGAGCUAGCUGCAUACUCUGCCAGUCGAGGUUUAUUCGAAUUGAAAUCUAUUUCAAGCUCGGAAGCAACGGCUGACCUUUGACGUGGAAGUUUAGUGAUUUGGCGGUCAAGAUCGGCCAGCCGCUCACUCUUUGCUUUUAUGGCCUCGAGCUCUGGUCGGAUAGCUUCAUGAACGACCAUUGAAGCCUUGAGGUCAUCUUCUGCCUAAAGAGCCCCAUCAAAAAUAGCGAAGUAUUGUCGGGUUCGUUUUAGGAUAUAAGAUAGGUGAACGACAUUCUCAUUGCUUAGAAUGCCAUCGUUUACAAGGUCGUUCAUACAUUCUUCUAUAGAAUCGAGGCCUUUGUAUUCAAGGAUUUGCAUGGCUGAGAUAGACAAAAGCUCAUGCAGCUUGGCGAAGACACUGGACACGGCCGCGAUUGCAAAAGACUAGAUCGCGGUUGUUGAAGGCCUAGUCACCCCAGAAGUGUUUGAGAGGAGGGUGUCAAGCUUGACUUUCCAUGAAGGCUGCAUAAAAAGAGUUGUUAGAAAAGAGAAGUUAAAAGGACGGUAGAUAAGGACGUUGUGUUAGACCUACCGAGAAAAGACUUCGGCCAUGUCUGUUGGUUCGUUACUCGAACCGAGAGAGCUUAAUGGCCGAGCCUAGUGUUUAAGGCAACCUUUUAAUUCAUGUGGCCGAUAAAGGUUAUCUAUGUUUGAUGGCUAUUGGGAUGGCCAAGAAAUAUAAAUAACGCCAUUUGGCGCAUAGAAUUUUUGGAGAAAUGAGUAAUUAGGCACCUGGCAGUUAAUAUUUUCUUGGUUUAGAAUUCUAAAGCAAAAAAUUAAUAAAAGAAAAUGAUGACGAGUCUUACAAAGGUCGAAGUAACCUCCUGAAGAGGAAUGUCGAAAUUCUGGUCUUGAGGAUGAACCAACGUCUUUACCAUUGCUUCUGCCUCGACAGGAGGCACCGCUUCAUGUCCUGCACCUAUUUCAGUUGCAAAAGUGUCGACCUGGCCAGCCAUCUCAACUAUCGGUUGAGGAUUGGUGGUUGGUAGUUCAGCUGGUUGAGAGCGCCUCACCAACGGGGGUACUUCAUUCUCGUCAUCCUAUACAUAAAAGAGGAUUGGUCGUUAGUUGAGAGAUAUAGUCAAAAUAAAAGGAGAACAUUAGUAAAAAUGGUCAUACCUAUUCUUCCACAAUGAUUAUUGGAGUCUUCUUUAGAUUUGGCGGAGGGUUUCUCUCGGCUGUGGUGGCCUCAUUCUCCAAAGCAGUAGCUGCCACGCUAACACCAAGAAUAACGGCCGGCCUCGGGGUUGGAAAACCCUUGACUAAUGGGUUGAUGAUGGGUUCAACAACAGCCAGCAUAAUGGGUUGGAUCUUAGUUGAUUGAUCUGUCAGAGGAUUUUGCGGUACUCCAAUCGAGGCCUGGACGACAUGAGAAUGGAGAAGGGCACUAGGAGUGGUUGUUCCCGUGGUUUGACUCGAAAUGACAUAUAUCUCCCGUUCUUCAUUCUUUUCCUUUUUCUUGAGGCACUUUUGGGACCGGGCAAUGUUGCCAGUCGUCUCGACCUUUGGGCGAGGCCGUUUGCUCGGUGCGGUCGGUGCAAUAGGGGCUGCUGCAGAAGUUGGUUUGACUGAAGGAUGAGCGAGUUUCUUUUUAGUCGCGACCAUCGUAACCACAUUGACUCGUUUUAUGGCACGACCACUUGGAAAAACUGAGUUUAAGUCAGAACGAUGUUCAAAUUGAAUAAACAAACAAGGGAAGUAAAAGAUAUAUACCUUUAGUUGUUUCUUUGGAUUUUGGGACGAGUCUUCCUCGGUCGGUCGUCGAAAAGCUUCUUUGAAAUUUCCUCGACUGAAGUACUGAAGAAGUCCUUGACGUAAGCAUCUCACCAAUCGGCGAAGAUGCUAAUGCAAUGGGUUUUUGGGGUAAUCAGCCGAAGAUAGAAAUUGGUGCAUCGCUCUAAGAAUUCCCUCUCGGAUUCAUCACAUUCCCUUUAUGAGGAGCUGAAGAGGCGUUCUCGGCUCAAGGGUGAGCGGGAAGUGAGGAGUGGCAUAGGAUAGGCCUGGACAUAGCUCAGUGGAUAGGCCAUGAAGUCAGGAUGGCAAAUCUCCUAGCUGGCCCAUCGAGCAUCACAACCAAAUGGAAUGUCACGAGCUAGAACAAAUGAUCCAUAUGAUUGUCGGAGAUCAGCGUCUUCUGCUUCUUCCCACACCAAUGUAGGGAGCCUGAUGGAAGACAAAUAUUUCUGGCGGUGGCAGACCAGAAACUCGUCGUUCAACAAGUCUUCAAGGUCGAAGAAGUACUUGAAGACAUCUUCGGCCAAUGGGCAGGAGUAGGGUGUGAGGACAGUUGAAGGCUCAUUGCUUUGGAAGAAUUGAAGUGUAGGAUUUUUGGCCUCAAUGUGUAGAAGUAAACCUGCAACCAUAGUUGAAAGACUCAAAGUGGGCCGUUCUGGUGUGGGUUGAUUUUCCCGACGGAAACCUCAGCCAAGCAUCGAGAAAGGUUGGCAAUGAUGGUCGAGCUGAAGGGCAGGACGUGGCCACUAGCUAGCGCUUCAGCCACUAGCACAUUCUUGGCCAGGCACUUGUACGACUUGGUACAAAAGAUGAACUUAUUGUACUACUAGAACGAGAAGGUCUCGUGUUCCCCCUUCUUGAGAGCUUCCCCCUCCGAGCCAGCGAAGUGGGUGAUCAGGGUGCUAUAAUUGAAGAAGUUCUUGUGCAGCUUAUAUACAUCUUUUUUUCAACGGCUCCUGACCAUCCUUCAUCAAAGCUUCGACGACAUGUUCGUCAAAGACCGCCUUUAGAUCUAGGUCGAAUUGAUAUCGAAAAAGGGUGGUAUCAACUGAAAGACCAGAAAGGGGAGUGCCAAGUAUAGCCGUGACAUCCAGCAUUGUUGGGCCAAUGGGGCCAAGAGGAAGGACCAUAAUGUUGGUGGCCAAACACUAGAAACUCAGGGUGGCCAUUAGGAGUUCUCGAUCCAUGUUGAUCUCAAUGGUUGAUAGCUUAAUGGCAUCAAAGUUACUGAGAAUCUUCCAAUCGCCCCUGAAGUGUGGCUCCAUCCGGGUAGGGGUGGGUACUUGGAAUCAAAAAUCAAAACCGAAACACGAAUCGAAUCAGACCGCACCGAACAGUUUGGUUUUGUGAUUUUGAAACGGUUACGGUUUCAAAACCAAACCGCAGCAAAGAAAACGAUUUGGUUUCGGUUUUGGGGUUUCAAAACCGCACCGAAACCAAAACCGAAAUCGAAACCGCACCAUAUAUUGAAUAUUGAAUGUUAUGUUUUAAUCUAUUGUUUUGUGCAGCUCCAAUCUGAGUUUUUCAUGGCAGUAGGGCUCCCAGGCUCACAUUGCUCUCAUAAUCACUUUGCUUGUUAUGUGUAGCCCCAUUGCAGUAAAUUUUAAUACCGCGGGGCUCCUAUACAAUCUGUGAUACAAACCAACAUGAUAUUCUUAAAUUAGUAAUAAAAUUGACAACGAAUUUUUCUUACUUUGAUGAGAUAUGUAUGAAAUAUUCUGGGAAAAAAUGUACAUGCUAACUCUUGGAUAAUAACUACAAUGAGCGAUGGAAAAUACAUCCAUUUGUAUGCCAUUUAUUACCAAGGAAGUUGCAGAUAAUCGAGGCUAACAUUCUCAAGAGAAUGCUAAGUUGGUAACACAACAGGAAGUAGGUGGGAAAGAAAUACUUACCAGCUAGAGUAAGUCCCUAGGUGGACAAGGCAUAGAAUAAAUUGUACAUUUUUUUUCUCAAAAACCAAACCAAAACCGUUUGAAACCACACCGAACUGAACCAAACGGUUUGGUUUCAUUUUGGUUUUGGCUUCAAAACCGCACCGAACUGCACCGCAAAGAGUUUCGGUUUCGGUUGCGGUUUCACUUGAAACCGCACCGAACCGUACCGUGCCCACCCUUACAUCCGAGUGACCCAAGCAGCCCAGACCGUGAGGGUUGAUGGCCAACUCCCUAGGGUUUGGUCAAUUCCCACUUCGACCAAUCGUAUCCUUGAAAUAGGGGUUCAAGGCAAUGCGUCUUCAACAUCUUGGUGAUUGAUUCUGGGAUGUUUUCCUUGAAAAGUGGUCCCAGAGUUUGGUGGAAAACACUUGAAUCAUCCUCACACCGGAGGGAUUCGAUGGCAUUCUGGUUAAUAAAGUCUCAACAGUUGUCGCAUUCCUCGGCGAGCUUGGUGAUAUGUUAGAGGUUUAUUUUGCUUCUUCAAGGUUGACGCUCAGCUUAGAUUUGUAGGCCGAAUACCUUAGAAGCGAGGGGGCAAUGUUUGGGCCCAAAAUAUUAUUUUGGGCCGAGCUUAGGUCAUUCUCGGCCUAAUGGCAUUCAUUUAGAAUCUUGUUAUGGGCCAUCUAGUUAAGGUCAGCCGAAUCCUAUUACGAAAAGGUUUGGUUUGGAUAAGGGUGAGUUGGUUGAAUCCUAGUGCAACAAAGAUUCUUAAAGCUAAGGACACUGAGAAUUAGGGGGUGAAUCUGGUUUGUUAAGAAGCUUGGUUCAAAGCCUACAGGAAUUAAGAUUGGUUGAAACUUGAUCGGAUUGGGUUGAGGAGUUCUAAUCCUAGUCCAUUUCUAGUUUGGCCAUGAGAGGAUUCGCUAUUAUAAAUAGAGGAGAUAGUGCAUCAUUCAAAGCUCCUCCAAUUCAACACACAAAUUGCCUUGUGCAAAGCUUCUCAACAACCUUUGAGAUUUUAUCCCCUUCCCCUUUCUUUUACCAACACAUCUUCAGUUUGGAUAAACAGUACUGUGAAGGCAACCGAUGACAUCUUCAGUUUGGAUAGACAACACUGUAGCCGUAUAAUUAGCCGACCGAGGAGCACUUUCAGUUUGGAUAGACAACACUGCUUCGAAGCCGACUGGUAAUUUAUCCAAGUCUCGGCUGAUAAGGAUUUUCGAAACCUUGUUAGCAGAGGUCAUCUCAUUAGCCUUCUCGGCGAAGUAAGGUGUUACAUGUUUCUAGGCUUGGCACAUUGAACGUCGAGUUUUGUUUUAUGAUUGGAUACUCGUAAGUAAGUUUCAGAGUUCAGCAUUCCGAUAGCCGAACCACAUUUAAAAUCAAGACAUAUAUUUCUUUCGAGUGGGCAUGCCCCACGCAUAACUAAAGGACGUAGUUAGCUUAUUAGUUACUCGGCCUGCGCGCCACGUAAACUUGAUAGUUUUUAGGGUCAACAACUUUCAUUUUUUCAUUCCCAACCUACCCUGAAUUUAAAAAUGGAUAGAAACAUAAUUUUUAGGCCAACUUUUACUUAAUUUGUUGCUCUUUGCUUUGCCACUUUUAUGCCAAGUUCUUCUUCUUCUUUUUUGUCGAUAUGCUAAGUUCUUCUUCUUCAUCUUCGUCACUUUUUAUUCUUCCAUUUGUUCGUGUUAUACUUCUAUCUUAUAUGUUGGAAUAAAUUAUGUUGAAACUAAAUUCACGCAGUGCCAUAGAAGGUAAAGACACACAAAUUCGAGUAAUCUGUAAAAGAACAAACAACCAUGAGCUAACAAAAAACUAGGGGUGUGCCAGUCAAAGGCUCUCCGAUGGUCAAGUUAGUAAGCAAUAUAAAAUUAAAGAAGUAGACAAGAAAGUAAGUAUGCGAUAAUUGUGUUACCAGAGAAAAUCCUAGAAUGAUGUAUUUAUACUAGUUGAGGAUGGGAUGUUUUAGAAUAGUAGAAUUUGUAUUAAAUCGGGAGAAUCCUAGAGGAUAUCUAGAGAUAGAUAUUGCAUCCUCUUAGGAGUGUGAUUACUUACCGCACACGUCAAUCUUUUGAUUGUAAGGACUCCAAGAUUAAUUAUAAGAAACUUGCUGAUUUCUUGCUGGAUUUUGUUUCCAUAUCUUAUGGAAAAAGGUUAGUCUCAUCGAAAUCAUCAGACUUCACCCACUGAUUUCGGAACAGGAUGAUGGUGGCAUCGCUGCUUCGUAUGUUUAGCUCCGCAUCGGAAGCUGUAGAGUCCAUGACCAAAUAUUCGUAUUCCGAUCCACCUUACUCUGGCCCUGAAAAGUCAUAGUCCAACAAUUUAUAUUGAAAUUUGUCAUGGUGAUAACUUAACUACAUGUAAUACAUAUUCCUUUCGCUUGUACAUGUCUUAAAAUUUGCCAAAUGCUUAUAUGUCUUUGCCUUUCCUUUUGUAUAAUUGGUUGGGUAUUUUUAAUUGUAGGAAGAUAGUAAUAUUUUCAUACGUAUAAUUGUUUCAUAUCUCUUUUAUAGGUAAAUGAAGAUGUUAAUUAAUCAAAUAUUUUUCGUAUAUAUAGAAUUGUAUUAUAUAUUGUUUCUCCCCAAAAAAAAAGUGCUUUAGAUAUCAUUAUCAUAGGUAAGUAACCGUAUAUAAUUAGAAAUUUAAAUCUAUAUUUAUUAUCAAAGUCAAAAUAGUCAUACAACUAAAAAAUAAAUGCACAAAUUGGGUUAAAGUUGACCACACACACACAUACACACGCGCGCGCACACACACAUAUAUAAUAUGUUUGUGUGUUUGUUUGUUUUCUAUAUGUAGAGCUUAAUUAAUUAGGUUUGCAUGGUAUACAUAGUAUCCAAGCUAUGUAGCUAUCUUAUUUUUUUUUUUAUAAAAGUUAGCCUGCAUGAUUUCUAAUCCAUCAAUGUUUCUUUGUAGUUGGAGGUGUUCUAUUUCAUGCAUGCAAUAGUAGGAGCUGUCGCUUGGUAAAAUUAACAAGGGGUUUUUGAACUUUAAUUCUUGAAGAAGAUUAAAAUUUAAUAAAAAUUUAGUGUUAUAUUGAAUAUUGAUUUUAGUCUAUUAAUAUGUAUUUAAUUCAAAUUCAUAUUAUAUUUUUGUUUUUAUAUUUAACAGAUAACUUAUUUAAUGUUAUUACAUUAAAUUUUAUUUAACUUUCUCUAAUUAGUGUACCUAAACGUCUGUAUCAUAAUAUACUUUACUAAAUUAAUGUACCAAAAUGCCCGUACCAAAAUAUAUUGUAGUGAAUUAGUGACACAUAAGAAAAUAUGUAAAAACAUAAGUGUACAGAAAAUUCCGUACCUAACUAUAUGAUACUAAACUAGUGUACCAAAAUGUCGGUACCUAAAUAUAUUAUACUAAACUAGUGUACCGAAAUGUUCGCACCUAAAUAUAUUGUAAUGAAUUAGUGGCAGAUAAGAAAAUAUGCAAAACAUAAGUGUAAUGAAAAAUCUCUAUGAAAAAUAUUUUCUUAUAUAAGAUGCUUACCAUUAGAUGAUUCCACUAAAUGAUGCCUAUAUAUCCUCGAAUCUUACUUUUCCACUCCACUACAAACUUUCAUUGUCAAAACAAAAAAAAAAAACUCCCAACUUUUUAUACGCACUUAUUUCAAAAUUUUGCCUCUCUUUUGAAUCUUUUAUCAUGGCUUUUUCAAGCAAGAAGUCUAAACCAAUUAAGCUUUCCCCCUAUAAUCUUCCUUUGACAAGAGUUCGUAAUCGAGAAGAAGGUGAGUCUUUCAUUAAAGAGCACCAUGACAUUUUGGACGACUGUAACGUCUGGUGGGAACCUGGUCAUGAUAUCUAUGCUAAUCUGCACCGUUGUUUAGUCCUUGCUGUCUUUGUACUAGAAUCUACCCUUGGUUCUUGGACUUUGGUCUUCGUUUCCCUCUUUCUGCUUUUAUGAAAGCCAUUUUGUUAUGCUAUGAUAUAGCCAUCUGAAACCUCUCUUUUACCGCCUUCAAGCUUUUCACUUGCUUCGAGUUGUUGAAUUAGUGGUUCGGGGCUAAGUUGGAUAUCCCAGAGUUUAAAUGUUGCAUAGCUUCAAACCGAGUUUGGAUGACCAUUAUUAUUUUGCUGCUAUAACUAGUUUGGAUUAGGAGACAUACAUCAAGACACCCCUAAUCACCACAAGGAUUGGUUCAAAGACAUACUAAUUGUUAACGGAGCUUAGGAGGGAGAUAUUAGCGGACUCCAGAUCCGGAUUGAUCCUCCGACCGUUUAUCGCAAUUGGAAAUGGUUGUUCUCUACUGAGCACUUGAACAACCGUAAGAAGAUAUAGACGCAUUUCAUUGUUCAGGAUUCCCUAUAAAGAAGCUAGAGUAGGUUGAUGCUCGUAAUGAUCAUAGAAAAACUCGUUCCUUUAAAACAGCAUAGACUUUGUCACCUGUCCUAAAGAAGCGGAAACAUCCUAACAAUUCUUCUUCUUACUCAUUGGUUGUGACUCCUCAGCCACAACUGCUGAUUAAGGACAUCCAUUAUAAACCCCUCUUCGAAUAAGCACGUUGCUGUUCUGGCGCCACCAACUUUUAUUGUAUUUGCCUCUAUAUCCAUAGCAAAUAAGCCGCUUACUUCACCUCUUAUCCAUUUACCUGCGGUGUUGCCCCAAUUGUCGAAGUCAGAACCUAUUGUCCUCAUUUGGUUCUUCCACCAAGUUUUAUGUUCGUGCCAUACGAAAUUGAUGUGCCUUCCAUUUCCUCAACGUCCACUUUCGUCCAUCCGCUGCAAGUGCCUAUAUAUGAACCUUCCUGCCAUAAUGGUCCUCCAUUGAUUUCCCCAUCGAGGUCCAAGGGAACAUCUCGUCCUCCCUUUAUGAUCAAACCUUUGGCUGAUCGAGUUGCUUUUGCUUCUGAUGUCAGUGGUCUUCAAAACACAUAUGAUGCUCGGGUGCUGCAUGGGGCUACGAUUGCCACUACCGAUUUCAAGGGAGCCUACACUUCUCUUAAAUGUGACAUAAUGCAGUACUAUAGGAGUCAUUAUGAGAUACCCGAAUUUCUCUCCUCCAUUUCUUUUUGUUGAUAUGUUUCCCUCGUAUUAGGUUAAUGUGUGGACGAAUCUAGGAACUUAAACGGAUUACAGAUAUAGGCAAAACGAUGAUUGCUAUCCCAAUCAUAAGAACUUAAGAACUCGUAUACCAUGUAGCAAGCCUCGAAUACCACUCAUGAUGUAGAGAUAAUUCGGGAGAUUGAUCUAGCUACUGUUAUAGAGGUAAAGGCCAAAGAUUACAAGGAAAGUUUUGAGAAGGUUAGAGACGAGCUGAGGUUAGAGAAGCAAGCCAAGACGAAGGUGGACUAGGCUCUUGUUGUCUUAAAAGGAGAGUCGGAGCGUGUGUUAGCUUUAAAACAAAAUGUUUGGGCUAAAGAGCAGGAAGCUCUUCAAAAAAAGAGGUCGAGCAUCUAUGCUAAGAGGUCGAUCACAACGAUAACAAGCCCAUCGCGUACCUUUAGCAGCUUACUAACAGGUAUUCCUCUUAGACGUAUGUAUUCCAGGAAGAUCAUAAGAGGUUACUUGAAGAGGAGUUUGACGUCAGAUUCCUUACCGAUUACGCCCAACAAGAUCACCCUAAAGGUUGGAGCGUCUUCAGAAUUUAUGAGUAGAUCAAACACAUGGACUUUCCUCCUCCGCAUCAUUUGUUAGAUGAGAUGUCAGAUUUAGAGGCGGAGCAAAAUGAAUGUGAUCUUAAAGGUAAUCCGACACCUGAUGCCCUUGGUGAAUCUUCUACUCCAUUCAAGGGAAACGAUGUCCUGAAAAAGGAUUAAUUUGCACUUGCUCCUGGGUAGGAAAGGAGACUGUCCCUUUUGCAAACUUUUUGUCGUAAUACAAAGCUUUUUCUUUCAUUUCUUUCUCUACUCGGGGAAGAAAUCUUAAUCCUAUAAAUUUCUCUAAAGUAAACGAACUUUAUUUGAGAAAUAAGUGGCGGAGCGGGUACGAGUAAGUUUGUAGGUUCGGGACAAAGCUCAUCAACUCCCCUUGGAAACAUUGAUUCAGGGGAAUGUUGCCUCCUAAGAUUUGUAUUCAUAAAGUAUUCUCAUCAUGAUAUCUAGAAUACCACCUUAUUAUGGUAUUAGGAAUUAGACAUUAAACCCAUGAGAAAACUCUUGCUCUUACACUUAUUAAAAUACAUUCAUCAGGUAUAAGAGGUCCAAAUCAUGCCUGAUAACAUCUUAGAAGUAGAGGUCGAUUACCUCAAAACUUGCAAUGUGGUGCCAGAAUGAGUUUUCCCUGGUCCGAAUUGCGUGUUCAUUUCUAGUGAAUCUUACGCAAAAGUUCUUUGGAUACAUGGUCAUCAACAUGUGAGUCAAAAAUGCUUUUAGAAUCCUUUUGUUAGACCCUAUGUGUCGGACUUGAGCGUUUAUAAUCGGACUACUUUGGUUGGCUUGACCAAAGCAUUUUCGCUUACUGAAGCUCCAUUGGAAUAAAAUUCCUCUUUGGGAUUGCCUAGUUUGAAUGCCCUCUUCGAACCUGCUAACACUUGGUGUUGUAGAGCUUACUUGACUUAGUAAAUUAGUCUGGGAUAGAAGUAGUCGUACUCGGGGUCAGAUUUUAGAGCCACCCUCAGAUAAGUUCCAGAUCGCCCUUUUGACUAUUCCCUCGAAUGUGUAGAGCCCAGGUUUGGAAUGUUAUAACCCACAACCUUGCUGGUUACAUAAACUUUCUAGAGACUGGAUGGUGCAUUGGACUUCCAGGUCAAGGCGCAAUGUUCCUGUACCCAUAGCCCACCAGUCGUUACAACACUUAUUACUGUUCGAGUCUAACAAGCUGCUAGCCGUUCCAGACGGAUAAGGCUAAAGAAGGCUCUUAUGAUAGUGUAAUUUUGAAUGUUUUUAGACUUGUAUUCGUGUAAAGUUUUCAAAGUUUGGGGCCUAUUUUUUAACGAGUGGGGUACUCCCUACAUCAUCGAAAAAAUAAAGAAAAGAAUACGUAUUUAAGACAAACAGAUGCUCGUUAUUCAUGAUCGAAGUAAAAUUGAUUGACAAGAGGGUGUGAUUGAAUCUGAGAAGGAUUGCCUACAUAUUUAUGAGAUGGAGAAUCAAAUUACUGAUAUAGUUCUAAAGAAAAUAUGAUAUAUGUAAAAAUUUACAUGAAAGAUCACUUUUGACGAUAAGCCUAUAGGGAGGCGUUGGGGGAUGAUUUCUCAAUGGACUUAUCUUCACACAGAUGGGGGCGUUACCGAACUGCCUACAUAUCUCAGGAAGGGAAUCAAACCGUGUGUAUUUCAUGUGAGAUUUACUUUGUUUUAGGUCACUUGGAGAGGCUUGCAAGGGUUUUAAUUUUCUUUCUUCAACAAGGAUUUCAUCCAUCGGCACAAGUCCUCUGGUUUCUAUGUCAUUGAACCUUUUGCUGCUUGGCAUCAAUUCGGAGUAGUGAGGUGGGAUUCUAUCUUUAAAGGGGACUUUUGCCAUGGCGUAUAACCAUUCUCGGCCAAAGAAAGCGUUGUAUAGAGACAAAUUAUCCAUCACUUGGAAAGUCAUCAGAUGUUCAGAUGGUUUUGCUUGAACCAUGAAAUGUAUUGUCCCUAUGGUGUUAAGCGGGGUUCCAUUAAGGGUUUGGACAUUGGAUCUUCAUGAGUUGACUUCAUCUAGGAUGUUAAUUGAUAGGGAUUUUUACCAUCUACAAAAGUAGAGAUAAAAACACUUAAAAAUACUUGCAAGAGUACAAGGUUGUCGUAGUAUAGUGGUUUAGGCAAGGUCGUUUUCCACCGAGAUUGAAUGAAUAAUUUGUGUUUAAAACCAACACUUAAUUAAUUAUUUAAAACAAAGUUUGGAAAAUGUUGAUUUUAGAAUUUAAUAUAAUAAAAACGAAUUUUAAAAUAAAACAAUUAAAGAAAUUAACUAGAGAACAAUUUAAAGAAAAACAAUUUGUAAAAGCCUAGGGUUCCGCCGUCCCCUUAACAAUCCUACGCAAUUUUACUAAUUACUUAUGAAUUUCCACAUAUAUACUUUGAAGGUUAGGUUUUCCUAAUGCAUAUUUUCCUUGUGUGUUUAAGCGAAAACGUAUAUCUAACAUGCAACCCGUCUGUGAUGUUCAGAUCAAAUAUAAACAUGCAAGACUCAUUAAGCUUUAUGAAAACCCUUUGAAAAACCAUGCAACCCUUAAGAGCGUGAUAUUCACCUUAAGUGAACUUACAAUUACUAAUCACAAGAAGCCCUCCUCAAUUUCAGGGUGAUGUUCCAACAGAAAUUGCAUCAAAUUACUUGUCUAAAAACCCUAAUGGUUGCGAAUCACUAAGACAAUUAGAUAGUUUGAUCGCAGUGAUUAAUAAUUCAAAGUAAGCAUGCAUCCAUUCAUAAGCAAAUUAAUAAAAUCACAUAUUCAUGCUAAGGCUUGUGGCAUCGCCCUAGCAAAAGAACUUAGUUACGAACAAUCAUGAAACAAAAUAUUAUUGAGAAUAAGGAUAGAAAACGCCUAGAAAAUAAACUUGAAAAACUCUCUAAAGUGUGCGUGCGUUCUCUCCUCUCCUUCCCUUCUAACCCUAAUGGCUAAAAGGUCUUAUUUAUACUACUACAAAAUAAAACCUAAAAAGUCUUAGAAUAAAACUAGGAAACAUAAUAAAAUAAUAAAACAUAAAAUAAAAGGUUUCCUAUUUGAACUAAAAUUCGGAUUUCUUAGAAAAUCAGACUUUUGACCGACCAAAUUAACUCUGAUUUGUCCCAAAAAGUCUCUUUUGAAAGAUGGAGACGUCCCCUACAAAUCCUCAGAAGAAAUCUUCCUCAAAAUAUUCCAUCUUGACCUUCAAAAUGCCCAAAACGUCCAGAAAGGUCAGUCUGGAAAAGCUGCGCGCUGGGCCUUUAUUUCAUAACCACGGUCAAACGGCUUAGUAGAAAAAUAUAGAAUUUUGACACAAUCAUCUUGAAAGACUCACGAACAUCCUCCAAUUAGAAUUACUCUAAAAUUAAUCUGUUUGAUCACUUUUUUGCUCCAGAGGAAAUUGAAUGUCCAACUUUAGAAAUAUAGUUCAAAGUAUCAAAAUUCUACCAAAAUAACUAGGGUAAAUUACAUAGUAGCCCCUCAGGUUUGAGGUCUAUUACAACCCCAUACAACAACUUUAAAACAUUUCACUUUCAUACAUCCAUUGCCAUUUUAUUUCAAAAUAACACCUCUGUUAGAUUUUCCAUCUAUUAGUCUGUUAAAUGCUGACGUGGCUACCACAUUUAUGCUGAUGUGGCUGCCACGUGGAAAAAAUAUUUUUUAUACAUUAAAAAUAUUAUAAUAUUAACCCAAUUAAAAUAUUAAAAAAAACAUAAAAACCCUAACCUAGAUCCCCUUUCUCCCCCCUCUCUUUUAUGCAAUCCCUUCCCACUAUCCCUCACCCACCCCCCAGCGACCUCUCCCCAAGCGACCCACAUCCCUAUCCCUAACCUAGAACCCAAAAACCUGCAACAAGAAGAAGAAAAAGAAGAAGAUGAGGGAGGAAAAAAAAAACCCCCAGUUUGUCCCCUCUUCAAAACCUGCAAGAAGAAGAAGACGAAGAAGAGGGAGAAAAAAAAGAGAAAAAAAAGAAAAAAAAAAGCCCAGUUCGCGGGAAGGUCGCCGAAAGGUCGCGCGAGGGGGGGGGAAGGGAAGUCGGUCGCGGGUCGCGGCAGAGCGGGGGGAAGGGAGAUGGGUCGUGGGUCAUGGCAGGGCCGGGGGGGUUUUCUUUUUUUUUUCUUCUUCCUCCCUCUUCUUCUUCUUCUUUUUGUUGUUGCAGGUAUGUGGGUCGCUUAAAGGGGGUGAAGUCUUUGGGGGUGGGGUUCGGGGUGGGUAAGGGAUAGUGGGAAGGGAUUGCAGAGAGGAGAGGGGGAAGAAAGGGGAUCUGGGUUCAGAGGGUGUGUAGAGAAGGAAAGAAGGUGGGUGCGGAGGAAGAGAGGGUUGCGGGUUAGGGGGGUGCACAGGGAGGGUCGACGUUUGGGGGGGGGGGCGGGGGUGUUCUGGGUUUCUGGUUUUGGGGUGGGGGGUUAUCAUUUUUGGGUUUUAGGGAACAAGAUGAAGAUGGGGGAUAUAGGUUUGGGGGUUGCUGGGAGAAGAGAGGAUUUUGGGAGUUGCAAAAGGGUGGGGGUGGGGGAGGGGGGAAGGAAGGGAUAUGGAAUUCGGGAUUUUCUAGUUUUUUUUGUUUUUUUAAUUGGGUUAAUAUUAUAAUAUUUUUAAUGUAUAAAAAAUAUUUUUUUCUACGUGGCAGCCACAUCAGCACAAAUGUGGUAGCCACGUCAACAUUUAACAGACUAAUGGAUGAAAAAUCUAACGGAGGUGUUAUUUUGAAAUAAAAUGGCACUGGAUGUAUGAAAGUGAAAUGUUUUAAAGUUGUUCUAUGGGGUUGUAAUUUACCCUCAAAUCUGAGGGGUUACUAUGUAAUUUACCCAAAUAACUAAUAUAUUAAUACUAAGAUAAGGGUAAAAUAUAUGGUAAUAUGGACUUAUCACUAAUCCUUAUAGCUACCUCCUGAAGAGGAUAUUGACUUCCGAUCCGUUAUCGAUUAGGACUCUGCCGACCAUAGUGUCUUUGAUUUACAACUUGACUGCAAGAGUGCCAUUGGAUGGUGGGUAAACAAUUUAUGGCCUGGUUAAGGGAUCUUUCAUCCAAGGUUUUCCUUGGGUCAUUUUCCUUCCCUUCUGCGCUUUCUUGAAAUACUAUUGUCUUCUCCUUAUGUGAUUGAUGCCUGGAUGGACUUCAUGCCUAGGUGUUAGGGAGGCAGUGGUUAGGGAAUUUCCCGCAGUCUUGUAAAUUACACUACUAGGAGGGCUUCCUAGAUCAACUAUUGUGAAUUUGUCGUUCCUGGGGGAGCUCGAAUAGUAGAAUUUUCAAAUCGGGUGAAGGUACCUUCUACAGUUUUCAUUCUUUCAUUCAGCCUAGCGAGCUUCACCCUUUCUCCUACUUGUAGGUUCUUCUUGAGCACUUUUAUUGACAUGUGUACCUUCAGGACGUUAUCCCAGACCUGGUCGAUGAAAGAGGCUUCUUCUCUAUUCGGGUAUACGGUUUGACCAAACAGCAAUUUUCUGGACGUGGUAUCCGUGGAGCAAAGUGGUCUGGUCGAGAGGAAUAUGGGUUUUCUUUUAAUGAAAGCACCAAUUGUUGAAACCAAAUCUACGCACCUCCGUGAGCGGCGGUUGGGCACAAAUCCGAGUAAACCUGAACAACCUACAAAAGGCUCUUCGAUAGUCAAGCAGUAGGCAAGAGAAUUCAAAUGUAUAGGUUACGUUACUGUAGAUGAACCCUAAACGGGUGUAUUUAUACUAUGAGAGAGAGACAUUUUUAGGAUAGAUCCUCAUUUUAAGCCGGGAGAAUCAUAGAGGAUAUUAGUGAGUAGAUAUUGCAUCUUCUUAGGAGUUGUGAUCACUUGCGGAGCAUGCCUAUCCCUAAAUUGUAGGGACUCCAAGACUUAUAGGAUCUGAUUGUGUCCAUAUCCAGAUCACAUCACAUGUCUUGCAAAACAAGUAUGGUCAUAUGGUGGAGUCACUAGGACUCUGCCUAGGGCCCCAUAGUAGAGUGAUGGUGGCACCCUUCUCCAUUUGAUACAGCUUCACCCGGAGUUGGUAGUGAGUCCAUGAUUGAACUCUUGAGAUAACGGUAUUCGGUUUAGCCUUACUCCGAUCCUGAAAAAUCAUGGUCCCACAUGAGCAGACAAACAUAUUUAGGUGAUUCUGUAAAUGAAUAAUUCCAUCGUGUAUUACGGUGCUCCUACAGAAAAUGGUCCCAAAUUUCUAUCACUUCCAUUCAUUUAUCAGCAAUAGCCCAAACGCCAAACCUCAUUUUUUAAAAGUCACCUGGUAUUAAGCUAAAUAAGUCAAUUAAUUAAGUAUGUAAUUGAGUAAUUAACUAAUGGUGGUGAGAUGAUGAGAAAUGGAAAGUACAAGAGUAUCCUGCACAGAACCACCGUAAACAAGGACAAGACAAGAAUGUCAUGACUAGUGUUAUUGGAGCCGCCAGCAGGUCCUCAUUUACAGCUUGUGAACGCCGACAAUCCACCAGAGUAUAAGACCAAGAAGUAUGGCUACCAUGUUUACUGUAAGAUCAACAAGCAUCCCCAGUAAAUAAAAGAAAAACUAACGAAAAGUUAAAAAAAGACUUUAGUUUUAAUGAAAAAUGACAAAUAAAGGUGUAAUGAAUAGUAUCAGGGAAAAGUAAAAAUGUGAUUUUUCGUUAAAAGUGAACAAUACCAGGAGUAUUUGUUAAAACUCCCCAUAAAUAAAUACUAUGAAGUGGGUGGUUUUUGUUUUUUUUAUUUUUAUUUCCUUAUUUUGUGUUGGUGAAAUUGUGGGUGGUGAGUACCAUAUUUGUAUGAAAUAAUAAUUUGAAGUCAAGGUGAUGAGCAAAAUCUUACUCGAUUGUAUAUUAUUAUGGAAGUUGAGAUUUGUUGUCGGAUUCGACAUUCUUCUUAUCCCUCUAACUCACAACAAGUCUGAUCAAAUUCUCAUUUGGUGUCCAAGAUAAAUUUGAAUGAAUAGCCCACAAUAUUUAUUGUAUGUUGAACAAACAAAUGAAAAUUUUGUAUCCAAUUUAAAGUAAAAGAUGAAUUACUCAUACAGAAAACUUGUACAUUCAAAUUUCCUCCAAAAUGACAAGAUUCUUUGGGACACUUUGGAUGCGAUCCCUAGCUAUCAAUAUUCUUUGAUUGAAACCUUGUUAGUUUUUAGUUUUUGAUUGAGGUCCCUGAUAUUAAUGUAAUAAUGUAAGUUACUAUAUUUUUUUAAUUAAAAAUUAAAAAUUGAAAUUUGUAAUUGUUUAUAUUAAUGAGAUUUUAAAUAAAACCCAUAAUUUAUGGGAUUAAAAAUAAUAAAAUAUAAAUUAUUCUCUCUAUUAUAUUGUGUGUGUGUGUGUGUGUAUAUACAUAUAUGUAUGGGUACAUUAACCAAAAUUAACAAAAAAAGUUAUUGUACCAAAACAUGGAUACAUUCUCAAAUCAACGAAAAAGAAUGUACCCAUAUAAGUUUAAACAUGGAUUAAAAAAUUUGAAUGGAUUUUAUAUUAAAAAAGGGUACAUUUUACAUAUAACAAAUUGAUAUAUUUGAGAAUGGGUACAUUUAAGAUUAAAAAAAUUGAAAAAUUAUAUGAAUGGGUACAUUUAAGAUUAAAAAAUUGAGAAUCUUUUUAUAUAUAAAAAAAACUAAUAGGUACAAACUUAAUUUAAUUUAAUUUUUUAUUAUUUUGGAAAUGUUUGAAUUGAAAAUUAAUUAGAAGUUUAAUAGAGGUGUGAGUAUUAAACCCUAAAUUAAUUACUAAUUUUUAUAUUAAAAAAAUUAUAUAAUAAACAUGUAAAUUCAUUAUCACAUUAAUGCUAGGGACUUGAAUCAAAAUUAAGAACUAAUAAGGUGUUAGUCAAUGAACAGUAAAAACUAGGGACUGGAUACUAAUUUUUCCUUAAAAAUAUAACUUUCAUUCAUAUCUACUCAAAAUGAAGAAAACCAUUUACCUCUACAUUCAUCUUUAUGUACUUGGAAUUUUACGAGUUAUCUAUUACAAUCCUAGAAAUCAAAUGACCUUAAGAAACAAAGAAUCAGAAUAUUUAAACUUAGGACAUUGGAUACAAAAGUGUAUAUUCUUAAUCACUACAGUUCAUUUCUUAAACUUUUAUAGUUUAGAAUGCAUAAUCUAUAAAAGCUUUAUUUACAGAAGAAAAGAAAGAAAAUGAGGAGACACGAUUGAUUUGUACAAAAAUAAUAUUGUACAGGCAAAGUCACAUCCCAGAACCAAUUUUGGGAGAGGUUUUGUUUGUUUGCAAGUAAAACAAGUAGAUGUUUUUAACCUUUUACCCUCCAAAACAAGUUCAAGAACGUUCUACUAGUUAGAACAAUAAUAGUAGGGUGGAAUGCUGAUUUAAUCUCUGAAUUAUUACCUCAGUGAAAAUUAGGUCCCUGAAUUAUUUUUCGGUAAAAUAAGUCCCUAAAUUCAUUAAAAAUUGCUAAUUUCAUCCAUACUACUAUAUUAAAAGCUAGUUUAUCACUUUUUUGUCAACUUAAGUCACUUGACACAUUUUAAAGUAAAAUACCAACAUUUUCUCACGUAUAAGCCAUUAACAUUUCAUACAGGUUACCAAUCUAAGGUCUAAUUUUUACCCUCCAAAGUUAACUUCAUAUACUAUUUCUUUAUGUAAAAUUACUAAUCUACUCUCUAAUGUGUAUCAUAUGCAAGUACCUUGACUUAAGUUGACGGAAAAUUGAAUAUAAUAGCUUUGAAUAUAAUAUUAAGGAUGUAAUUGGCAGAUUUUUAAAAUUCAAUGAUUGAUUUUCCUCAAAAAAAUAAAAAUAUUAAAGACCUAACUUUUACUCAGGUGAUAAAUUAUUCAGGAACUAAAUUGGCAGUUCACUCAUAGUAAUAAUGACAGACCCCGACCUAAAUCAGGGCGUGCUAAUCGUCACGUGAGGGUGACGUAGCCAUGUGCACAGUGUGGAAGCAAUAGAGAUAAAAGGAAAUGUGAAUGAAUAAAAACCAUACUACUAAAAGUCCUAGCUAAAAUAAAGUGCUAGUGUGAGAUUAAGUGUGAAAUACACCAUCAAAGCAUAAAUAGUCUAAGUGCAGUUCAACUGGAUAAGUACUAAUUAUAUAACACCCGAAGGUGAUCCUACAUUUAAUAUUCUGUAAGAACCACCGACGAAAUCCCCAUGAGCCACCAAAGCACUUCUACUUAAAAUCUGGAGGGGCGCAAAACAGAAAGUGUGAGUGGGCAAAAACAAAGCUUUUCAAAAUCAGUUCAUUUAUCAAAAAACGCUAACCCCUUGUCGUAAAACCUGUAUAAUUUCCUAAAAAAUAAUAUAUGUUAUAUCAGAAAUCAUGCUCAGGAUGAAAAUCCAUAGAAAUAUAUCAUGCCAAAGUAUCUCAAAGAAAUGCUAUAAAUUAUUCAGUUAAAAUAUAUCAAUACCAGAUAUCAUAUCAGCCGGAUCCACCUAACAUGACCUGCCCAGUUGAGUUUAUAACUCAUAACCAAUCUUAAUCAUAUCAAAUCAUGCACACGAGUCGGAAACACCUAACGUGGUCUGUACGACAAGACUAGGUGUAAAAUAAAUAUGCUCUAGUGCUAUGAUCACGUGAAGACUAUGCAUAUGAUCACGGUUCACCUACGAGUCAGAACCACCUAUAGUGGUCUGUAGGACAAGCCUGUGCACCUAACUUGGAUCCAAGGUAAGCAUAUGGUGCAGGAGGUGAACAUCACAUGAAGGACUGUGCCUUAACUCUGGGCAGGAGCACUAACACCAGGGUGCAGGUUUAUGAGCUCUCAUUGCAUCACAUCAUAUCUCGCAUAACUAAAUCAAUCUCAUAUAUUUAAUUUAUGAACUUACCUGGCACUUACCUGUGCGUCCGCAGCACCAAUCAUAAAUAUAUGCUACUAUUAAUGCAUAAAUAAAAUAGGCAGAUACUUUGUAUGGCAUUUCAAAACGUAUAAUCAUUCAAAUUCAUUUUCUGGGAAAAAUCUCAAGUAUAUAGGUAUAUACGGAAAACCAAAAGCCCACUCACCGGUAUGUCGAAAGGUUGUAGCCCCCGAGCCUCGAAUGAUGGCGCUCGUCCUCUAGAUAGGUCUCACCUAUAUGCGAAAUAACUAAAUAAAUGUUAAUUAAAGCACACAACCACAAUUAGCUAAUAACUUCUUAUACAAUGCUCAAAUGAGGUGUUUGAAUAUACCAACGUGAUCUACUCAACACCACGAACAUCCCCAUAUUUUUAGAAAAAAAUUUCGAGCAUCCAAACACCCUCACGCGCUGGCCAAGGCACGGCUAGACAAGCGGCCCACUUGCAGGCACGUGCCUGGCACACCAAACGGAUUCCCUAACGGCGUUAAGGAAUAUUCCGUUAAAAACCAACAUAUACCGUUAAAAUUACCUGACAGCAUUAGCAUAUUCCGUCAACUUUGACGUAAUAUUCUCCUUCUUCCUCCUUGGUUCGCCGGAGUCUAGCGCCAAUGCCGUUGCUAUCAUCGGAAACUGGAAAAAUCCUAAAAACUUCAUAUCUUUUUCGAUUCUCAACCAAAAUUCAUGAAAUUUGUCUCAAAAUGAAGCUUAGAGUGAGUAGAACACAUUCUUACCACUUUCAAGCCUUGAAAUCCAUGGAAACUCGCCAAAGAAACCUCGAUAAUCCUGCCAAAAUUUGAAACUCGUCAAACUAAGCUUCCCGACGUCCAAAACAGUCCAACUUUCUUCCCCGAGCUUCGUGAAGACGUCCUAAAACUCCCUGGAACCUUAAAAGUCAAAGAAAAGUCCACAAUCAUAACUGCAUGAACAGUGCUCAAAAUCGGGAUUCUUGGGUUCUUGAGUUUUUGAAGGAUUCACGUUCUAAAAAUGGUAUAGAUGUGUUCCUGAGCUCACAAGGAACAUGAAGAUGGCUUCCAAAACCUCGAUUUGCGAUUAAUGAGCUAGGUUCGAGUUUGUCCGUACGGUUGUACGAAAAUGGAAAAAAAUCUGAUAGGGAGGAGAGAGAGAGUAAACGGGAUUGGUUGGUGUGUGUGUAUGGUCUAGCUUUGGGCUACUAACAACAACAAACCAUUAACUUUAAGUUCCGAAAACUUAGGAACUUAACAUAUUGGUCCACCUCUAAAAGUACGUCACACACAACACAUCUCAACGUUUAAGGGUAAAAUAGACAUUUCACACUAUCGAUAAAAAUAAUUUGGGACUGGCUGUGACAACCUACCUUCCUUAAGAAAAUUUUAUCCUCGAAAUUCACACAACAAAUACAAUCCACUAAUAAUCAUAAAACAACCUUGCAUACAUAUCCCUCAUCCUGUCCUCUGUCUCCCAAGCAGCUUCUUCCAUUGAGUGAUUUCUCCAUAAAACUUUCACUAAGCGCACGGUCUUGUUCUUCAGCACCUUAUCUUUCCAAUCCAAUAUCGUCACUGGCUCCUCAUCAUAAGUCAAAUCUGGAUUAAUUUCCAAAGGUUGAGGAGGUAUCACAUGUGACGGAUCUGAAAAAUAAUGACGAAGCAUGGAAACAUGGAAAAUGUCGUGCACUUUAGAUAACUCUGGAGGCAACUCAAGCCUGUAAGCAACUUCACCGACUCUCUCGGUGAUCACAUAUGGUCCGAUAUACCUAGGACUUAACUUACAUUUCUUCCCAAACCGAACCACACCUCUCCAUGGUGAAAGCUUAAAAAAUAUCCAAUCACCCACUUUAUACACCCUGCCAAUGGC
Molecule: long non-coding RNA, 40818 nt
Filed under: Malus domestica (apple)
Lineage: Eukaryota; Viridiplantae; Streptophyta; Magnoliopsida; Rosales; Rosaceae
Description: long non-coding RNA (MDOM_LNC004302)
Source: RNAcentral